Molecule: ribosomal RNA, 290 nt
Filed under: uncultured bacterium
Lineage: Bacteria
Description: partial 16S ribosomal RNA
Rfam family: Bacterial small subunit ribosomal RNA
Source: RNAcentral
AGCGAACGCUGGCGGCGUACUUAACACAUGCAAGUCGAACGAGGAUCGCUACGUGAGCAAUCAUGCGGCGGUUCUAGUGGCGUACGGGUGAGUAACACGUGGGCAACCUGCCCUGGAGCCUGGGAUACCCUCUCGAAAGGGAGGCUAAUACCGGAUACGUUCCCCGGGUCGCGAGAUCUGGGAGGAAAGGUGGCGCAAGCUGCCGCUCUUGGAGGGGCGUCGCGGCCUANCAGCUAGUUGGUGAGGUAAUGGCUCACCAAGGCUAUGACGGGUAGCUGGUCUGAGAGGAC